AUUGAACGCUGGCGGCAGGCUUAACACAUGCAAGUCGAGCGGGGAAAAGUAGCUUGCUACUGGACCUAGCGGCGGACGGGUGAGUAAUGCUUAGGAAUCUGCCUAUUAGUGGGGGACAACAUCUCGAAAGGGAUGCUGAUACCGCAUACGUCCUACGGGAGAAAGCAGGGGACCUUCGGGCCUUGCGCUAAUAGAUGAGCCUAAGUCGGAUUAGCUAGUUGGUGGGGUAAAGGCCUACCAAGGCGACGAUCUGUAGCGGGUCUGAGAGGAUGAUCCGCCACACUGGGACUGAGACACGGCCCAGACUCCUACGGGAGGCAGCAGUGGGGAAUAUUGGACAAUGGGGGGAACCCUGAUCCAGCCAUGCCGCGUGUGUGAAGAAGGCCUUUUGGUUGUAAAGCACUUUAAGCGAGGAGGAGGCUACCGAGAUUAAUACUCUUGGAUAGUGGACGUUACUCGCAGAAUAAGCCCCGGCAAACUUCGUGCCAGCCGCCGCCGUAA
This 501-nucleotide ribosomal RNA is filed under the name uncultured bacterium. RNAcentral's name for it is "partial 16S ribosomal RNA". It matches the Rfam family "Bacterial small subunit ribosomal RNA", at positions 30 to 523 of the family's 1533-position model. The record is from RNAcentral.